GAAAUGCGAUAAGUAAUGUGAAUUGCAGAAUUCAGUGAAUCAUCGAAUCUUUGAACGCACCUUUCGCUCCUUGGUAUUCCUUGGAUCAUGCCUGUUUGAGUAUCAUGAAAUCUUCAAAGUAAAUCUUUUGUUAACUCAAUUGGUUUCUACUUUGGUAUUGGAGGUCUUUGCAGCUUCACACCUGCUCCUCUUUGUUCAUUAGCUGGAUCUCAGUGUUAUGCUUGGUUCCACUCGGCGUGAUAAGUUAUCUAUCGCUGAGGACACUGUAAAAGGUGGCCAAGGUAAAUGCAGAUGAACCGCUUCUAAUAGUCCAUUGACUUGGACAAUACUUUUAUGAUCUGAUCUCAAAUCAGGUAGGACUACCCGCUGAACUUAAGC
This 378-nucleotide unclassified non-coding RNA is filed under the name plant metagenome. RNAcentral's name for it is "partial contains 5.8S ribosomal RNA, internal transcribed spacer 2, and large subunit ribosomal RNA". The stretch from base 1 to 105 matches the Rfam family "5.8S ribosomal RNA", at positions 50 to 154 of the family's 154-position model. The record is from RNAcentral.